GUUAACGGAGCGAAAGCGACGUUUAACCGCAAAAGAAGCAGAGGGGGCUUAGUGGUGGGGUGACUGCGUACCUUUUGUAUAAUGGGUCAGCGACUUAUAUUCUGUAGCAAGGUUAACCGCAUAGGGGAGCCGGAGGGAAACCGAGUCUUAAUUGGGCGUUAAGUUGCAGGGUAUAGACCCGAAACCCGGUGAUCUAGCCAUGGGCAGGUUGAAGGUUGGGUAACACUAACUGGAGGACCGAACCGACUAAUGUUGAAAAAUUAGCGGAUGACCUGUGGCUGGGGGUGAAAGGCCAAUCAAACCGGGAGAUAGCUGGUUCUCCCCGAAAGCUAUUUAGGUAGCGCCUCGUGAAUUCAUCUCCGGGGGUAGAGCACUGUUUCGGCCAGGGGGCCAUCCCGGCUUACCAAUCCGAUGCAAACUGCGAAUACCGGAGAAUGUUAUCACGGGAGACACACGGCGGGUGCUAACGUCCGUCGUGAAGAGGGAAACAACCCAGACCGCCAGCUAAGGUCCCAAAGUCAUGGUUAAGUGGGAAACGAUGUGGGAAGGCCCAGACAGCCAGGAUGUUGGCUUAGAAGCAGCCAUCAUUUAAAGAAAGCGUAAUAGCUCACUGGUCGAGUCGGCCUGCGCGGAAGAUGUAACGGGGCUAAACCAU
This 655-nucleotide ribosomal RNA is filed under the name Salmonella enterica subsp. houtenae. RNAcentral describes it as "partial 23S ribosomal RNA". It matches the Rfam family "Bacterial large subunit ribosomal RNA", at positions 529 to 1190 of the family's 2925-position model. Lineage: Bacteria; Pseudomonadati; Pseudomonadota; Gammaproteobacteria; Enterobacterales; Enterobacteriaceae. The record is from RNAcentral.